GAUGAACGCUGACAGAAUGCUUAACACAUGCAAGUCGAUUCAAUUUACCUUCGGGUAUUGAGGAUGGCGGACGGGUGAGUAACGCGUAAGGAACUUGCCUCUUGGUCUGGGACAACUGUUGGAAACGACAGCUAAUACCGGAUAUUAUGAGAUUCUCGCAUGAGAAACUUAUGAAAGCUAUAUGCGCCAAGAGAGAGCCUUGCGUUCCAUUAGCUAGUUGGUGGGGCAACGGCCCACCAAGGCGACGAUGGAUAGCCGGCCUGAGAGGGUGAACGGCCACAAGGGGACUGAGACACGGCCCUUACUCCUACGGGAGGCAGCAGUGGGGAAUAUUGGACAAUGGGCCACAAGCCUGAUCCAGCAAUUCUGUGUGCACGAUGAAGGUCUUCGGAUUGUAAAGUGCUUUCAGUUGGGAAGAAGAAAGUGACGGUACCAACAGAAGAAGCGACGGCUAAAUACGUGCCAGCAGCCGCGGUAAUACGUAUGUCGCAAGCGUUAUCCGGAUUUAUUGGGCGUAAAGCGCGUCUAGGCGGAAAAAUAAGUCUGAUGUUAAAAUGCGGGGCUCAACUCCGUAUUGCGUUGGAAACUGUUUUUCUAGAGUACUGGAGAGGUGGGCGGAACUACAAGUGUAGAGGUGAAAUUCGUAGANAUUUGUAGGAAUGCCGAUGGAGAAGUCAGCUCACUGGACAGANACUGACGCUAAAGCGCGAAAGCGUGGGGAGCAAACAGGANUAGAUACCCUGGUAGUCCACGCCGUAAACGA
This 763-nucleotide ribosomal RNA is filed under the name uncultured prokaryote. Its description in RNAcentral is "bacterial SSU rRNA". It matches the Rfam family "Bacterial small subunit ribosomal RNA", at positions 28 to 809 of the family's 1533-position model. The record is from RNAcentral.